Long non-coding RNA from Equus asinus (donkey), 1882 nucleotides. The record is from Ensembl. Lineage: Eukaryota; Metazoa; Chordata; Mammalia; Perissodactyla; Equidae.
CGACUAUGCAGGCCAGGGAGAGACCAUAAACUUGAGUCUUAGUGCCGCCUUUGGGAAAACAAAAGAUAGGCUGUCAGCACUCGGCCUGGUGUGUUGCAGAUCCAGAGAAGGCAUACAAGCUUAAGAAUUCUGCCACAAGAGGGAGCAAGAAGCGUGGAGGUGGUGUACCCAUUAGAAGUUCUGAGAUAGCCACAGAAUCUCUAGCAGGGCUGAUGAGGAUCUCUCUCUCCCGAAGGCAAUUAGUAAAGACUUGGGGAGGUGACUGCCACUUCAAAUACAAAGACAGCAAUGUAAAACGUCAAGAAACAUGAAAAAUCAAGAUAACACGACAUCACCAAAUGAUCAAUAACUUCCAGUAACUGAACCCAGACAUGAUGAUCUACAAUUUACCCAAUAAAGAAUUCAAAAUGGUUUUAAGGAAAAUCAAUGAGCUGCAAGAAAACACAGAAAGACAAUUCAACAAAAUUAGGACAACAAUACAUGAACAAAAUUAGAAGUUUAAAAGAGAGAUAGAAAUCAUAAAAAAGAACCAAACAAAUUCUGGAGAUGAGAAUACAAUGAAUGACGACCAGCCCGGUGGCACAGUGGUUAAGUGCACACGUUCUGCUUUGGCAGCGCAGGGUUCACCGGUUGGGAUCCUGGGUGCAGACAUGGCACCGCUUGGCAAGCCAUGCUGUGGUAGGCGUCCCACAUAUAAAGUAGAGGAAGAUGGGCACAGAUGUUAGCUCAAGGCAGUCUUCCUCAGCAAAAAAAAAAAGAGGAAGAUUGGCAGCAGAUGUUAGCUCAGGACUAAUCUCCCCCCCUCAAAAAAAAUACAAUGAAAUGAAAUGGAAAAUGCGAUAGCAUCAAUAACAGAAUAGAUCAAUCAGAAGAAACAAUCUAUAAGAGGAACUUUGAAAUUAUCCAGAGGAGGACAAAGAAAAAAGAAUGAAAAAGAGUGAGCAAAGCCUACAUGUUUUAUGGAAUACCAUCAAAAGAACAAAUUUGUGAAUUAUUGCAAUUCCUGAAGAAGAGAGCGAGAAGGGGAGAGAAAGCUUAUUUAAAGAAAUAAGCUGAGAACUUCCCAAAUCUGGGGAGAGAUUUGGAUAUCCAAGUUCAUAAGGUUCAUAGAUCACCAAACAAAAUUAACUAAAAAAGAUCCUCUCCAAGACAUGUUAUAAUAAAACUGUCAAAAAUCAAAGACAAACAGAGAAACUAAAAAGUGGCAAGAGAAAAACACCUUGUAACUUACAGGGGAACGACUAUAAAGCUGUCAAUGGAUUUCUCAGCAGAAACCUUACAGGCAAGGAGAGAGUGGGAUGAUAUACCAUCCAAAGGAAAAAGCCUGCCAAACAAGAAUACUUUACAUGGCAAAUCUGUCCUUCAGAAAUGAAGGAGACAUAAUGAACUUUCCCAAACAAAACCUGAGGGAAUUCAUCACCAUGAGACCUCCCUUAUGAGAAAUGCUGAAAGGAGUUCUUCAAGUUGAAAUGAAAGGAGUUAAUUAGUAACAUGAAAAUAUACAACACACUGGUAAAGCUGGCUCGACAAGGGAAUUGGCUGAAGUCAAGGAGAAAAUGGGAGGCUGCCAAUGUCUCCCUUGCUGACGCUGAAGGUAUCAAGAGACUGUUGGAUCACUGUACAAAUCCUUCCAGGUAGAUGGGAACAGAGCCACUCCACUUGCUGAGAAUUGUUGCCAUUGAAGAUCAUCCUUCUGAAGGUGUGGCUAUUUCCUGUAUUACUUCUUCAGAGACUGAGGACCCAAGAAAAUGAGAGUACCUGGAGAAGACAAGGAGGGCUUGUGAAUACCAGGCUUGACUAAUUGAUUCUGAGACAAGGUCAGACAAAACAGGAUGCUUUUGUAUUUUUGUUCUGUGGGUUAGGGUGUGCCUCUGUAUUUCCC